Molecule: ribosomal RNA, 512 nt
Filed under: uncultured bacterium
Lineage: Bacteria
Description: partial 16S ribosomal RNA
Rfam family: Bacterial small subunit ribosomal RNA
Source: RNAcentral
GACGAACGCUGGCGGCGUGCCUAAUACAUGCAAGUCGAGCGAAUCAAUAGGAGCUUGCUCCUGUUGGUUAGCGGCGGACGGGUGAGUAACACGUGGGCAACCUGCCUGUAAGACCGGGAUAACACCGGGAAACCGGUGCUAAUACCGGAUAAUCCUUUUCCCCUCAUGAGGAAAAGUUGAAAGUCGGUUUCGGCUGACACUUACAGAUGGGCCCGCGGCGCAUUAGCUAGGUGGUGAGGUAACGGCUCACCAAGGCGACGAUGCGUAGCCGACCUGAGAGGGUGAUCGGCCACACUGGGACUGAGACACGGCCCAGACUCCUACGGGAGGCAGCAGUAGGGAAUCUUCCACAAUGGACGAAAGUCUGAUGGAGCAACGCCGCGUGAGCGAUGAAGGCCUUCGGGUCGUAAAGCUCUGUUGUUAGGGAAGAACAAGUAUCGGAGUAACUGCCGGUACCUUGACGGUACCUAACCAGAAAGCCACGGCUAACUACGUGCCAGCCGCCGCGGUAA